AUGUCCUCUGCUGCUCCUACUCCUCGAGCCUCCAAGCACUUCCUGCCUGCUGAAUCAGCAUCCCCGGCUCGGCUGGCCGCCGCCGUGGUCCGCUGGUCUGAGAUGCGGAGCCUAGCGGGAGCAUGUGGGACGGCCACGCAAGAGGUUGGCGUGUCCUUGGCGGGUGCUCGGGCUUGUGGAGGAGGGGCCAAGUAUGGAGGGGAAGGACGUCGAGAAUCAGCAUUAGCGCCAUCAAUUUGGUACUCAGAGAUGAAGAAGAAAGGGACUGCAGCUCAUACAUGCAGUAUUACCUCCGCUUAA
Molecule: ribosomal RNA, 300 nt
Filed under: Triticum aestivum (bread wheat)
Lineage: Eukaryota; Viridiplantae; Streptophyta; Magnoliopsida; Poales; Poaceae
Description: partial small subunit ribosomal RNA
Source: RNAcentral